AGGGCACCACCAGGAGUGGAGCCUGCGGCUUAAUUUGACUCAACACGGGAAAUCUCACCAGGCCCGGACACCGGAAGGGUUGACAGAUUGAGAGCUCUUUCUUGAUUCGGUGGGUGGUGGUGCAUGGCCGUUCUUAGUUGGUGGAGCGAUUUGUCUGGUUAAUUCCGAUAACGAACGAGACUCUGGCCUACUAAAUAGACGGUGGAUCCCUUUGUGGGUCCACUGACGCUUCUUAGAGGGACGGGCAGCGUUACAGCUGCACGAGAUUGAGCAAUAACAGGUCUGUGAUGCCCUUAGAUGUUCUGGGCUGCACGCGCGCUACACUGAAGGAAUCAGCGUGUGUCCCCUGGCCGAAAGGUCUGGGAAACCCGUUGAACCUCCUUCGUGAUGGGGAUUGGGGAUUGCAAUUAUUCCCCAUGAACGAGGAAUUCCCAGUAGGCGCGAGUCAUAAGCUCGCGUCGAUUACGUCCCUGCCCUUUGUACACACCGCCCGUCGCUACUACCGAUCGAGUGAUUUAG
This 519-nucleotide ribosomal RNA is filed under the name uncultured eukaryote. RNAcentral describes it as "SSU rRNA". It matches the Rfam family "Eukaryotic small subunit ribosomal RNA", at positions 1161 to 1701 of the family's 1831-position model. The record is from RNAcentral.